AGAUAGAAGUUACUUCGGUACGAUCGGUGACAGUGGUGCAUGGUUGUCGUCAGCUCGUGCCGUGAGGUGUUAGGUUAAGUCCUGCAACGAGCGCAACCCUCGUCGCUAGUAAUUUUCUAGCGAUACUGCCCGUAUAACGCGGAGGAAGUGGGGAUGACGUCAAGUCAGCAUGGCCCUUACGUCCUGGGCUACACACACGCUACAAUGGGUGAUACAAAAGGUUGCAAUAGGGUGAUCUGGAGCUAAUCCUGAAAAUCAUCCUCAGUUCGGAUUGUAGGCUGAAACCGCCUGCAUGAAGUUGGAGUUGCUAGUAACCGCAGGUCAGCACACUGCGGUGAAUACGUUCUCGGGCCUU
RNAcentral lists this ribosomal RNA (355 nucleotides) under uncultured Chloroflexota bacterium. RNAcentral describes it as "bacterial SSU rRNA". It matches the Rfam family "Bacterial small subunit ribosomal RNA", at positions 1006 to 1382 of the family's 1533-position model. Lineage: Bacteria; Bacillati; Chloroflexota. The record is from RNAcentral.